This 699-nucleotide ribosomal RNA is filed under the name Triticum aestivum (bread wheat). RNAcentral's name for it is "partial small subunit ribosomal RNA". The record is from RNAcentral. Lineage: Eukaryota; Viridiplantae; Streptophyta; Magnoliopsida; Poales; Poaceae.
AUGGACUGGUACGAGUGGCUGCGCAGGGCGGGGCUCGGCGAGGACCUGGCCGCCGAGUACGCGCUCCUCUUCGCGCGCAACGAGCUCGGCGCCGCCGACGUCCGCCACCUCGACCACGCCUUCCUCGCCACCAUGGGCGUCGCCGUCGCCAAGCACCGCCUCGAGAUCCUCAAGCUCGCCCGGAAGGAGUCCUCCGCCUCGGCCGCCAUCACCGUCCUGCCGUGGCGCGCCACCAGGCUGCUCGCCGCGGCCGCGCAGCGGUCCGCGCGCUCCCUGGCCGGCUGCCUCCGCUCGGCCGCGCGCCGGGGCAGGUCCAAGGCCGCCGUCGCGCCGCGCCCGCUGGCGCUCUGCCACCAGGGCGUGGCAGGGCCGGCGCGGUGGAAGGGCGCGCCGACGGCCGCGGACGGCCGGGAGGUCACGAAGAGGAAGCUGGCGGCUCUCCUGACGCGCGUGGGCAAGCCCAUGCACACUCUCACGAACAGCGCCCAAAAGCCAACAACGAAGAAAGGCGCCGUCGCGUCGCCGACGACGUACAUGGCCACGGCGAUCGUGGCCGGGUGCUUCGCGAGCACGGAGACCUGCGACAGCGACUACGACGCCGACGACGAUGAGGACGAGGACGCCGAGAUGGGCGACGGCGGCGGCGAGGACCCGGAGACGCCGUGGGAGUCCAUGUUCCAGGAUCUGAAUCCCACCUAG